RNAcentral lists this transfer RNA (67 nucleotides) under Exiguobacterium antarcticum B7. RNAcentral describes it as "tRNA-Gly (GCC) (tRNA-Gly-GCC-3-1)". It matches the Rfam family "tRNA". From Rfam's summary of the family: Transfer RNA (tRNA) molecules are approximately 80 nucleotides in length. Lineage: Bacteria; Bacillati; Bacillota; Bacilli; Caryophanales. The record is from RNAcentral.
GCGGAAGUAGUUCAGUGGUAGAAUACGACCUUGCCAAGGUCGGGGUCGAAUCCCGUCUUCCGCUCCA